UACAGAGGUCUCAAGCGUUGUUCGGAAUUACUGGGCGUAAAGGGUGCGCAGGCCGCGCGGGCAGUCACAUGUGUAAUCCAGGGGCUCAACCCCUGAACUGCGCCUGAUACUUCCGCGCUCGAGCUUUGGAGAGGAGUCUGGAAUUCUCGGUGUAGCAGUGAAAUGCGUGGAUAUCGAGAAGAACACUUAGGGCGUAAGCAAGACUCUGGACAAAUGCUGACGCUCAUGCACGAAGGCUAGGGUAGCGAACGGG
Molecule: ribosomal RNA, 253 nt
Filed under: uncultured bacterium
Lineage: Bacteria
Description: partial 16S ribosomal RNA
Rfam family: Bacterial small subunit ribosomal RNA
Source: RNAcentral